RNAcentral lists this transfer RNA (76 nucleotides) under Nostoc sp. RNAcentral's name for it is "tRNA-Gln". It matches the Rfam family "tRNA". Rfam says of the family: Transfer RNA (tRNA) molecules are approximately 80 nucleotides in length. Their secondary structure includes four short double-helical elements and three loops (D, anti-codon, and T loops). Further hydrogen bonds mediate the characteristic L-shaped molecular structure. tRNAs have two regions of fundamental functional importance: the anti-codon, which is responsible for specific mRNA codon recognition, and the 3' end, to which the tRNAs corresponding amino acid is attached (by aminoacyl-tRNA synthetases). tRNAs cope with the degeneracy of the genetic code in two manners: having more than one tRNA (with a specific anti-codon) for a particular amino acid; and 'wobble' base-pairing, i.e. permitting non-standard base-pairing at the 3rd anti-codon position. Lineage: Bacteria; Bacillati; Cyanobacteriota; Cyanophyceae; Nostocales; Nostocaceae. RNAcentral also lists the same sequence under 28 other names. The record is from RNAcentral.
AGCCCUGUGGUGUAAUUGGCAACAUAGCGCCCUUUGAAGGCGAAGAUUCCAGGUUCGAGUCCUGGUGGGGCUGCCA